GGGAGGUGCCGCGAGGGUCCAUGAUUUGGAGAUAGAUAGAGAUGUAUCCUGGCAAAGCUUGUGAGUCUCCUUUAGGGUAAAUUAACAGGCGACAAUCAUAGCCGCCAACCUCAAAGUACUUGCUCCAAAUUGCCCUAGCUUUAAUACGAGGGAAGUUGUGAACCGUCCAUCGGCAAACGGCGGAAUACUCUCCUCGACGAUCGACGGUCACGGU
This 214-nucleotide unclassified non-coding RNA is filed under the name Hevea brasiliensis (rubber tree). The record is from RNAcentral. Lineage: Eukaryota; Viridiplantae; Streptophyta; Magnoliopsida; Malpighiales; Euphorbiaceae.